UCGCCACGUAGCCCCUAGUUAGAUAGUAUAUAUAGAGACAGGAGUGAAGGCUUCUUCACUCUUGUCAACUCCUUUCUUGGUUCUAGUCUAGUUUCAAGGGUCUCUAGUUUUCUUGUCUUUUGGUAAUAGCCAUUCCAAUUCCUCUUUCAAUAUAUAUACUUGUUUAUAUAUAUUUUGUUACAUCUCUUUGAGUGAAGGCUCACUUGACUGAAUUAUUUUUUCAUCGAGUUCUUGUCCUUGACACUAGAGGCUUAUCACC
This 259-nucleotide long non-coding RNA is filed under the name Physcomitrium patens. Its description in RNAcentral is "long non-coding RNA (PPAT_LNC009109)". Lineage: Eukaryota; Viridiplantae; Streptophyta; Bryopsida; Funariales; Funariaceae. The record is from RNAcentral.